ACUCCUACGGGAGGCAGCAGUGGGGAAUAUUGCACAAUGGGCGAAAGCCUGAUGCAGCGACGCCGCGUGAGGGAUGACGGCCUUCGGGUUGUAAACCUCUUUCAGCAGGGAAGAAGGCAAGUGACGGUACCUGCAGAAGAAGCACCGGCUAACUACGUGCCAGCAGCCGCGGUAAUACGUAGGGUGCGAGCGUUGUCCGGAAUUAUUGGGCGUAAAGAGCUCGUAGGCGGCUUGUCGCGUCGGAUGUGAAAGCCCGGGGCUUAACUCCGGGUCUGCAUUCGAUACGGGCAGGCUAGAGUGUGGUAGGGGAGAUCGGAAUUCCUGGUGUAGCGGUGAAAUGCGCAGAUAUCAGGAGGAACACCGGUGGCGAAGGCGGAUCUCUGGGCCAUUACUGACGCUGAGGAGCGAAAGCGUGGGGAGCGAACAGGAUUAGAUACCCUGGUAGUCCACGCCGUAAACGUUGGGAACUAGGUGUGGGUCACAUUCCACGUGGUCCGCGCCGCAGCUAACGCAUUAAGUUCCCCGCCUGGGGAGUACGGCCGCAAGGCUAAAACUCAAAGGAAUUGACGGGGGCCCGCACAAGCAGCGGAGCAUGUGGCUUAAUUCGACGCAACGCGAAGAACCUUACCAAGGCUUGACAUAUACCGGAAACGGCCAGAGAUGGUCGCCCCCUUGUGGUCGUAUACAGGUGGUGCAUGGUUGUCGUCAGCUCGUGUCGUGAGAUGUUGGGUUAAGUCCCGCAACGAGCGCAACCCUCGUUCUGUGUUGCCAGCGGGUUAUGCCGGGGACUCACAGGAGACUGCCGGGGUCAACUCGGA
Molecule: ribosomal RNA, 818 nt
Filed under: uncultured Actinomycetes bacterium
Lineage: Bacteria; Bacillati; Actinomycetota; Actinomycetes
Description: bacterial SSU rRNA
Rfam family: Bacterial small subunit ribosomal RNA
Source: RNAcentral